Small nuclear RNA from Arvicola amphibius (Eurasian water vole), 117 nucleotides. RefSeq annotates it as U4 spliceosomal RNA. The transcript has a single exon. The record is from RefSeq and is a predicted model, not a curated record. Lineage: Eukaryota; Metazoa; Chordata; Mammalia; Rodentia; Cricetidae.
AGCUUUGCACAUUGGCAGUAUCAUAGCCAAUGAGGUUUAUCCAAGGUGUGAUUAUUGCUAAUUGAAAAUAUUAAACAUAUCUGCCAUUGUCAAAAUAUGUUCUUGUUCGUUUGUGAU